Molecule: long non-coding RNA, 1630 nt
Organism: Anopheles merus
Lineage: Eukaryota; Metazoa; Arthropoda; Insecta; Diptera; Culicidae
Exons: 3
Source: RefSeq, a predicted model, not a curated record
UGUCUACGUUUGCUAUUAAUUUAUGUUAUUACACGAAUUACUAUACUUUAUAUCAACGUAAAUGAAAAAAAGUUUGAUAUCCCAAAUAAUAAUAGGACCCCUUAAAAUUGGCCAAAAAUGUCAAAUUUUUGACAGGAUCGGAUUUUGGAUCGGAUUGAAUAGAAAAUCCGAUCUUCUGCCAGUGAGGCAAUGAGUGAGAAGUGAAGAGUGAGUAGUGGGAGAAUGUACAUUCUCACGUGAUAAUGAAGGAAAGUGAGAAAAAACGAGGUGGAUUGAAAGCAACGUAAAAUUGCAGGAUUGCCAACCGAAAAAAAAGAAAAAAUAUUUUGCUUCUUGGGGGAAUUGUACAUGUGUAUGUUAGGAGCCAAGUGCUGUGUGUCAUCUAAGGAGUUUGUUUAUCAGGAAGAAAUUGCCGUAAACCGAACCGAACCGAACCGUGUGAUUAAAUGCUAGUCCAGCAUCUUGCGUGUUACACCAUUCCGGAUCGUGCCAGACGAGCUGCACAGAGCGAUGAAAAGGAGUUUUAGGUUAAUUGCCCGGUGCUUUUGCAGUAGCGUGAAAUUGUUAAAGGAAAAAUGAAUUCGAGUGAUUAUGGAGCUGCUACGCGUCAACGAGAAGACGAAGGGGAACAUAUUUCAUUGCAUGUGACGGAGAAAAGGACUCAUCAUAUUCUUCAAGCGAUGUGAUGAGACUAUUGAAACAAAUUUUAAAAAAUCAAUCAGCUAUACUUGAUGAAUUGCGCAGUCAGAGAGAAGAAUUUUUGGAAAUGAAAAAUAGCCAGAACGGUAUUUUAGAAAGUUUAUCGAAGCAAUCGAAAAAAAUUACGCAUGUUCAAGUUUUUGUUGAACAAAUUAGCAGCGUGGUAUGUGUAGGGAAAGGUGUAGGAGCUCCCCCAGAAGGAGAAUAGCCCCAGAAGGGUUUCAAAAACUAAAAACAAAAGACGAUAUGGAUAAUUUUAACCUAAGUUUAGGAACAGAAGAUAAUUUCAAGGAUAAUAUACACAAAUGGCUGGAUGAAAGCAUAAAGAAAGCGGAAGUAAAAGACAGGAUGCACGAGGCACGCGAUUUGAUUUCUGAUCCCGAACUGUUUGCAGGUUGCAACUGGAAAGGUGGUCCGUCUUAUAACCCAAAAAUUCCCUUAAUCACAUAUUCAAACAUAUUAGAACUGUUUAGAGCCAUAGGUAGCAAUUCCUUCCAGCAGGCCUCUGAAAAAGACGUGGAAGAUUUUUUUAAAUUAAAGCUUCGAUGGCAAAGAUCGCCUGAAUUAAAAAAAAUAUAGCUUUAAUCCUUCUAAAAUGAAUUGAGUAUGUGGCUAAGGAAAUGGUGGGAAGAUGACGAAUCUUCAUUCUGGCUACAAUCCGCAAAGAGAUUUACGAUAAGCAAUCAAAUCACUGGACUCGUGUAUCCUGUUUUUGGCUAUAAUGAUAAAAUCAUUGGUUUUUUUAAACGUAAUGAAAAAUAACAGAAAUAGAGCUGUACAAAUUUGAUGUUUAAUAAUAAUAAUGUAUUAUGUACAAAGUUAAAACUUUACAAUGUUAAAGAAGCAAUUAAGCUACCUCAACUUAUAAUGUUUUUUGUAUUAAAAAUGUAAUCACAAUUAAUAAAAAUGUUAACUAUGAACUCAGUAUAAA